Dicentrarchus labrax (European seabass) is the source of this 303-nucleotide long non-coding RNA. RefSeq lists it as uncharacterized. The record is from RefSeq and is a predicted model, not a curated record. NCBI's taxonomy places the organism in Eukaryota, Metazoa, Chordata, Actinopteri, Moronidae. The transcript has 3 exons.
CAGGUGAGUGUACGGCAACCUGGAGACCAACACCAGAGACUGGAACACAGACAAACACAGGUGUCAACAGGUGUUUAUAGGUGUGUACAGGUGUAAACAGGAAUAAACAGGUGUGUACAGGUGUAAACAGGUGUUUACAGGGGUGUAAGCAGGUGUUUACAGGUGUGAACAGGUGUGUAAGCAGGUGUAAACAGGUGUAAACAGGUGUGAGCAGGUGUUUACAGGUGUGAACAGGUGUGUAAGCAGGUGUAAACAGGUGUGUUCAGGUGUGUUCAGGUGUGUUCAGGUGUGUUCAGGUGUGCC